AUUGAACGCUGGCGGCAUGCUUUACACAUGCAAGUCGAACGGCAGCACGGGUGCUUGCACCUGGUGGCGAGUGGCGGACGGGUGAGUAAUACAUCGGAACGUGUCCUAAAGUGGGGGAUAACGCAUCGAAAGAUGUGCUAAUACCGCAUAAUCUCUAAGGAGAAAAGUAGGGGAUCGAAAGACCUUAUGCUUUUGGAGCGGCCGAUGUCUGAUUAGCUAGUUGGUAGGGUAAUGGCUUACCAAGGCGACGAUCAGUAGUUGGUCUGAGAGGACGACCAGCCACACUGGGACUGAGACACGGCCCAGACUCCUACGGGAGGCAGCAGUGGGGAAUUUUGGACAAUGGGCGCAAGCCUGAUCCAGCAAUGCCGCGUGAGUGAAGAAGGCC
This 388-nucleotide ribosomal RNA is filed under the name uncultured bacterium. Its description in RNAcentral is "bacterial SSU rRNA". It matches the Rfam family "Bacterial small subunit ribosomal RNA", at positions 30 to 416 of the family's 1533-position model. The record is from RNAcentral.